CUGGGCUCCAAUGAGCAGGCUGCUAAGGCAGGCGGCCGACCCCAACUGGGGAACUACUAGUCCCGACAAACGAUUCUUCCGGAAGUCUCCAGAGUAGAAAAGUUUGCUAUGGAAGCGGAGAGAUGCAUUCUGGGAGUUGUAGUCCCAACUCGUCGCAGUGAACUGGUCUAUUUUCGACUCUUGGCUGGGAAGGUCACAGUGAAGCCGGCGGCUUGACCGGCCUCGAGAAGUCUUGAAAGCCGUCAAUUCAGUAAGAGUCGAGAAGUUCCUUCUUCCGAGGGUUCCACAUCCUUAUCCUUAGGGACACGGAAGUAGUGGCAUUUUUUUACUAAGUUCUCAAGCCACUGUUUGAUGACAGCUCUCUUUCCUUGUUUUUUCAAGCCUAGUGGUGAUAACUUCCAGCCGUUGCUAGUCCCGGGGUUCUUUACAAUCGUCUGUCUGUCCCCUUAAAGCUGAGCACACUUUGGUAAACACUUCAUUCAGCUCUCUUCUGUUACCCUUCCACCCCUGCGUGUGUGUGGCUGCUUUCUCUCUGUAUAUCUAAAGCAAAUCAACCAGCUAACUGACAAGGUGCAGGAUGGUGACAAAUGAAUCAGACCCUUUUCCAUCCGUGUGGGCACCAGACUACUUUGUAUAUAAGAUUCUGAUCAACUCCGAAGCCUGGAGAAAUUGCCAAAAUUCCCUCAGAAGCCAAAGCUCUUUGUGGGUGUGAGGGGACUAAGAGAGUGGAACUCUCCAAACACUCCUUCAAGCCACUGCCGAAGUCAAUCAGAGCAGAUCUGCUUUAAUAAACUGUUUAAUUUAUUGAG
Odocoileus virginianus texanus is the source of this 809-nucleotide non-coding RNA. NCBI's taxonomy places the organism in Eukaryota, Metazoa, Chordata, Mammalia, Artiodactyla, Cervidae. The record is from RefSeq and is a predicted model, not a curated record.